GACGAACGCUGGCGGCGUGCUUAACACAUGCAAGUCGAACGGAAGGGCCCUGCUUUUGUGGGGUGCUCGAGUGGCGCACGGGUGAGUAACACGUGAGUAACCUGCCCUUGACUUUGGGAUAACUUCAGGAAACUGGGGCUAAUACCGGAUAGGAGCUCCUGCUGCAUGGUGGGGGUUGGAAAGUUUCGGCGGUUGGGGCUGGACUCGCGGCUUAUCAGCUUGUUGGUGGGGUAGUGGCUUACCAAGGCUUUGACGGGUAGCCGGCCUGAGAGGGUGACCGGCCACAUUGGGACUGAGAUACGGACCAGACGCCUACGGGAGGCAGCAGUGGGGAACAUGGCACAAUGGGCGGAAGCCUGAUGCAGCAACGCCGCGUGCGGGAUGACGGCCUUCGGGUUGUAAACCGCUUUCGCCUGUGACGAAGCGUGAGUGACGGUAAUGGGUAAAGAAGCACCGGCUAACUACGUG
This 468-nucleotide ribosomal RNA is filed under the name uncultured bacterium. RNAcentral describes it as "partial 16S ribosomal RNA". It matches the Rfam family "Bacterial small subunit ribosomal RNA", at positions 28 to 507 of the family's 1533-position model. The record is from RNAcentral.